CUCCUCUCCCGGGUCUCUCUCCCUCUCUCUCUCUCUCUUUCUCAGACUCUCGAGCGCCGGCCCCAGGAUGACAAUCACAUCCCAGGCGCGCCGAUCUCUUCCAACUUUCCUUCCCUGCUAAGUCGGGGUGGAGUGGCAGUUCCGACACAAGGCGGGCCCCGGUGGGCCAGUCCGGCCGCCCCGAAGCACAAAAGGCGACCAGGCGGCGGAAGGCGAGCCGGCGAACGCUUUGCUCUGUGCUUGCCACAGUAAGCCGCGAAGUUAGCGGAUUUCUUGUUCGCUAAGAAGCUGGGUUCCGAGGCGGAUCGCCGCCUACUCUCCCCUGGUUUCUCCCCCCCAGCCAGGGAACCAGAGAGCGAGUUUGGAGACCUGAAAUGGAGGUCCCCGGGAGAGACGGAGGGAUGCCCGCGUCCAGGGCGCAGGGAGUGCGAGAUGAUUGUCCCUUUCCGCCAGCAGCAGCAGAAUCCGCAGUUCAUAAUGGAGCUAACUGUACUGGCUGUCGGAAGGAGGAGAUUCUGAAGAUAGGGAGAUUCAGCUGUCGGUCUUUGAAAUUUCCUGUGGUCUGUUCAACCUGGAUGCAGAGGACAUGGAGCAAUCAAGUACGCAAGAGGUCCAAGCGUGUUUUGGAUGUUCCCCUUGAUAGACUGCAGUAUUUUUCCGGUUAAGACCCUCAGCUGUCGUGCAGAAGAAGGUUAUUCUCUUCUUGGUCCAUCCAGUUUCCUUGAAAUGCUUAGUAUUGUAGAGUAUCACCACACAGUUUCUGUUUUCAUCCAAGCAUAGAAAGAAUAAAAUCAAUUCUAUACGUUGACUUCUUUUCCA
This 819-nucleotide long non-coding RNA is filed under the name Felis catus (domestic cat). Its description in RNAcentral is "lncRNA (ENSFCAG00000050636.1)". The record is from RNAcentral. Lineage: Eukaryota; Metazoa; Chordata; Mammalia; Carnivora; Felidae.